Rhea pennata is the source of this 154-nucleotide long non-coding RNA. RefSeq lists it as uncharacterized. NCBI's taxonomy places the organism in Eukaryota, Metazoa, Chordata, Aves, Rheiformes, Rheidae. The record is from RefSeq and is a predicted model, not a curated record. The transcript has 3 exons.
AGCUCGCUCGGGAGCCGGCUCCGUCCCCGCCCCGCUCCUCCCUUCCUCUCCUGGCCGCAGCAGGUGGUGCUACGCGGGGACUAUAUCUGAUGGAUCCAACAGAAGCCAAGCUAACAUAGGGCCAGUGCUGUACUGAGUGACUGUGCCAAUGGGG